This 423-nucleotide ribosomal RNA is filed under the name uncultured prokaryote. Its description in RNAcentral is "bacterial SSU rRNA". It matches the Rfam family "Bacterial small subunit ribosomal RNA", at positions 355 to 795 of the family's 1533-position model. The record is from RNAcentral.
UAGGGAAUAUUAGAAAUGGACGAAAGUCUGAUCUAGCAACACCGCGUGUGCGAAGAAGGCCUUCGGGUCGUAAAGCACUUUUUGGAAGGAAUAGGAAGGAAUGUACUUCCAGAAUAAGUCUCGGCUAACUACGUGCCAGCAGCCGCGGUAACACGUAGGAGGCGAACGUUAUCCGGAUUUACUGGGCGUAAAGCGCGUGUAGGUGGUUCUGUAAGUAGGGCGUGAAAGCUCCUGGCUCAACUGGGAGAGGCCGUUCUAAACUACGGAACUAGAGGAUGGUAGAGGGAGGUGGAAUUCCAGGUGUAGCGGUGGAAUGCGCAGAUAUCUGGAGGAGCACCAGGGGCGAAAGCGGCAUCCUGGACCAUUCCUGACGCUCAGACGCGACAGCUAGCGUGACAAACGCGACUACAUUCCCCACUAGUC